GACUUACGGAACUUGGUCCCCCGUAGCUGACCCUGGGCAGCUCAGCUCCUUGUGUAUGAGGCGGAUCAGGAACUGCACCAAAACAAAGGAUGGCCUGUUUUGGUAGAUGCAUGGGAAAAAGCAUGAAGAAUUUCCACCAACCUAUGAACUGACAUAUUCAACUCUGAGAGAACUUCCAGGUAAACAUGGUCGGCUACUCAUGUGUUAUCUCCACCCCCGCAAGCAACAUGAACUGCACCAUCACUGACUUCUAAAGAUGAUAAAUCCUCCCACCGAAGGGCACGUAGUUUUGGAAGAUGGACACAGAAGGGCUGACAGCAAACACAGCCUCCAGUGUUCCCUGCUCCACUGAGCAUCCUCAGAGGGAGACAGCACAGGGACACCUGGAGCAGAGCGAGGCCCAGUGGAGCCCAAGAGACAGGGGAGGGGAAGGCAAGGAAGGAGGAAGGCAGGGGGAAGGGAAGGGGGUCAGCAAGAGAAAAAAGGUGCAUGGGUUGAGUCUUUUAUCACAAACUGUUAGCUACAUUCCCUCUGCCGCACCUCGGAUCCCAGGUCUCUUUUCUCAUCCUCACUGAUAAAGAGACUCCUCCUGACGCCCCCGUGCAGGACAGCGCAGCUUAACCCGUGGGGACACUAAGCCCAGUGCAGGACAGGGAUGCUCACCUAACAGGCGACAGGGGAUCUGGGGAAAGACACCAGCUUCCACCAAGCUUCCAUGCCAUGGCAAGGAUGUCGGCAGCUGGACCCAGGCUCCCCUGGGCACUGAAGGAGUCUCCUCCUGCAGGUUCCGCAGGGUCCCACUGCCUGGAGACCAGCAGCCAGCACACUGUCCCCACAGAGAGACUUCAAACCACUAUGCAGGGCCCCUUCUUCCAUGGGAAGUGAUGAAGGGGCAACCAAGGUCUGCCCUGUGUCUGGGGAACGCCCCAACGUGAAAGCAAGCAAGCUGGCAGGAGGGAGCCUGGAGGAGAAGAACAUUCCCAGAGCUCACAGCACCCCCAGAGAGCCAACAGAAGACUAAGUUGAACCUCCCCGCAGAGAGCCAACAGAAGACUAAGUUGAACCUCAGGACACUCCCAUUUUUUUUUUUUUUUGUGGCUGAAAACCUGUUAUCAAUUUCACAUGAUUCAGUCUAACAUGAAAUAAAACAGGAUGCACUGAAAGGGCAGAGAAACAUCAGUAAACAUUGAAAAUAUGGCAGGAAAAGUAAAAUGGUCGAUACAAAGGUGGAAAAUAAAGUCAAGAAUCUCCCUGAGAAAGUGUAAGAAAGAACAGGGAGACAGGCAGGAAGGGAAAGAAAGAAAGGAAAGUUGAAGGAUUAAUCCAGAAAAGCCUACAUCUGACUAAUACAUUUUCCAGAAAGAAAAAACAAAUCAGAAAAUGGUAGGAAAACUUAUCAAACGAAUAGGGGCCCAAUUCCCCUAAAAUGAAGGGCAGGUGUUUCCAGACUGAAGGUGCCACCAGGUGCCCCAGGACGGUGGAUGAAGAAAGGCUCCCGGGGUAAGGAAGGGAACCUGGAGAUUUCUAAGAGAAAAAAGAGAAGGUCAGAAAGCAAGGGCUGGGGUCAGAAUGUCUGUGAACGUGUCAGUGACGGCAAUGGAGGCUGGAAGACGGGGGUUCUGAAGAGAAGGUGUUUCCACGUCCACAUUGCCUCAGGCGAGAGCAGAAUCCAGCCAUCACGCACUUGUAAGCUUGCAGAACCCACCUCCCCUAACUCAGGAAGCUGCUGGGAGACAGUUUCCACCACAGGAGUGGUAAACGGGUCUAGACUGCUAGGGCUGUGUCGCAGGCAAGAGAGGAGGGGGACUCCCAGCACCGUGGUGACAGGUGCUCUGGGGCCAAGCCGCGCAGUGGGCGGAGUGAGGCUGAUGGCGUGAAAGGGGUGGGGCAGGGCAGGAUGGCGGCCACGGUGCAGGGAAGGAAGAACUUUGUCGGAAAUGUGAAAAAGAGGAAAAGAUGAGAUGUUUACUUACCCGGGAAAAAACAAGAUGUAUCUAUUGAGGGUGCAUAAUUAAAGUUUGUUUCUUGGCUGG
This is a long non-coding RNA of Pan troglodytes (chimpanzee), 2033 nucleotides long. RefSeq lists it as uncharacterized. The record is from RefSeq and is a predicted model, not a curated record. The transcript is spliced from 3 exons. NCBI's taxonomy places the organism in Eukaryota, Metazoa, Chordata, Mammalia, Primates, Hominidae.